AAUCAAUUAUUCCUGGGGCAUCCGAGAGAAAAGAAAAAGGAAAAGACGCGAUAACCGAGAGGGAGAAAGAUCAGGGUUUUCCAACCAAAAUUUGUAGAGGGGAGGCUAAAGAGAGACAGCUUCUGAAAAUGGCACUGAGAGCUGUAGGAAGACUCGUUUCUCAAAGGCUCUCCCAAGGAGCUUCUAGGAACUUUUGUUCGAAUGCAGUACCUUCUAAGAAUGCUCAGGUCAAGUCUAUGGAGCACCAGGGCAGCAACGAGAUUUUGGAGGAACUCGAUGAAGUCACCCGCGAUUGAUGCUACGAAUUUCGAAUUCAGGUCACGGGUAUCAUCAACCAGUGACCUUA
Long non-coding RNA from Papaver somniferum (opium poppy), 346 nucleotides. RefSeq lists it as uncharacterized. The record is from RefSeq and is a predicted model, not a curated record. The transcript has 3 exons. Lineage: Eukaryota; Viridiplantae; Streptophyta; Magnoliopsida; Ranunculales; Papaveraceae.